GGGGAUUUAGCUCGGGGGCAUAAGCGCCUGCCUUGCAAGCAGGCAGUUGUGCGUUCAAUCCCCG
RNAcentral lists this transfer RNA (64 nucleotides) under Cavia porcellus (domestic guinea pig). It matches the Rfam family "tRNA". From Rfam's summary of the family: Transfer RNA (tRNA) molecules are approximately 80 nucleotides in length. Their secondary structure includes four short double-helical elements and three loops (D, anti-codon, and T loops). The record is from Rfam by way of RNAcentral. Lineage: Eukaryota; Metazoa; Chordata; Mammalia; Rodentia; Caviidae.